Molecule: non-coding RNA, 651 nt
Organism: Pelobates cultripes (western spadefoot toad)
Lineage: Eukaryota; Metazoa; Chordata; Amphibia; Anura; Pelobatidae
Source: the annotation of a GenBank genome assembly
AACCAUGUUUAUACCAGCCCCCUCCGACACUUCACCUACACUGUGGACAGAUGCCGCAGCAAACACAGGCUUUGCGGCCAUCUGGGGUGAUCAGUGGCUUUGGGGACCUUGGCCGACCGAAGUCGAAUCACUGCCCAACUUCUCUGAUACCUCGGCUUUAUUCGAGUUGUACCUUAUUGUGGCGGCAGCCAUUGCAUGGGGACCAUGUGGGUCCAGUCACACAGUCAGGUGCUACUCAGAUAAUAUGGCCAUAUUGUCAAUAAAGGCCGAUCGUCAUCACUGGUCAUUAUGAGACUACUAAGGCGACUCACAUGGGUAGCAGCCACCUGUCAAUUCUUUAUAACAUGUAUACACAUUCCGGGGUACACAAACACCUCUGCUGAUCACUUGUCUCGGUUUCGUUUCCAGGCUUUCUUCUCGACACUACUCACCGCUUCCAGACGAGCGACACCUGCACCACUAUUCAAAGAUAUGAUAAUGGAUUAAAGACUUUGUUAGAUUGCGCACGUCACAUUUCUCAUCUGGCACUCUCAGUAAACACGAGGAACACUUAUGAUAGGGCUUUUCACGUAUUCACGAAAUUUAUCACCGAAUUUUACAUCCACGACAUGUUUGCUUUAGAAACGAUAUUAGGUUUUACUUCUUUUUUGC